GACGAACCGUGCGAACGUUGUUCGGAAUCACUGGGCUUAAAGGGCGCGUAGGCGGGCUGUCAAGUCUGGGGUGAAAUGCCGCGGCUCAACCGUGGAACUGCCUUAGAUACUGACGGCCUCGAGCGAGGUAGGGGCAGCUGGAACUUCCGGUGGAGCGGUGAAAUGCGUAGAUAUCAGGAGGAAUACCGGUGGCGAAAGCGACUCUCUGGACGGCAACUGACGCUGAGGCACGAAAGCGUGGGGAGCAAAAGGG
Molecule: ribosomal RNA, 253 nt
Filed under: uncultured bacterium
Lineage: Bacteria
Description: partial 16S ribosomal RNA
Rfam family: Bacterial small subunit ribosomal RNA
Source: RNAcentral